CUACGGGGGGCUGCAGCUAAGAAUCUUCCGCAAUGGACGAAAGUCUGACGGAGCGACGCCGCGUGGAUGAUGAAUGCCGAGAGGUUGUAAAGUCCUUUUAUCAGAGAAGAAUAAUCAUGUCAGGGAAUGGGCGUGAGAUGACGUUAUCUGAUGAAUAAGCUCCGGCCAAUUACGUGCCAGCAGCCGCGGUAACACGUAAGGAGCGAGCGUUGUUCGGAAUUAUUGGGCGUAAAGGGCAAGCAGGCGGCCUUGUAAGUCUGGCGUGAAAUACCGUGGCUCAACCACGGAAACGCGCUGGAAACUGUGAGGCUAGAAUCCGUGAGGGGUAUGUGGAAUUCCUGGUGUAGGGGUGAAAUCUGUUGAUAUCAGGAAGAACACCUGAGGCGAAGGCGACAUACUGGCACUGGAUUGACGCUGAGAUGCGAAAGCGUAGGGAGCGAACAGGAUUAGAUACCCUCGUAGUC
Molecule: ribosomal RNA, 464 nt
Filed under: uncultured bacterium
Lineage: Bacteria
Description: partial 16S ribosomal RNA
Rfam family: Bacterial small subunit ribosomal RNA
Source: RNAcentral